UCCGGGAUAGCCAAGCUGGGAAGGCGCCGCACUGUUAAUGCGGUCACGCGCAGGUUCGAAUCCUGCUCCCGGAGCCA
RNAcentral lists this transfer RNA (77 nucleotides) under Terriglobia bacterium. RNAcentral's name for it is "tRNA-Asn". It matches the Rfam family "tRNA". From Rfam's summary of the family: Transfer RNA (tRNA) molecules are approximately 80 nucleotides in length. Their secondary structure includes four short double-helical elements and three loops (D, anti-codon, and T loops). Further hydrogen bonds mediate the characteristic L-shaped molecular structure. tRNAs have two regions of fundamental functional importance: the anti-codon, which is responsible for specific mRNA codon recognition, and the 3' end, to which the tRNAs corresponding amino acid is attached (by aminoacyl-tRNA synthetases). tRNAs cope with the degeneracy of the genetic code in two manners: having more than one tRNA (with a specific anti-codon) for a particular amino acid; and 'wobble' base-pairing, i.e. permitting non-standard base-pairing at the 3rd anti-codon position. Lineage: Bacteria; Pseudomonadati; Acidobacteriota; Terriglobia. The record is from RNAcentral.